This 397-nucleotide ribosomal RNA is filed under the name uncultured bacterium. RNAcentral's name for it is "partial 16S ribosomal RNA". It matches the Rfam family "Bacterial small subunit ribosomal RNA", at positions 523 to 918 of the family's 1533-position model. The record is from RNAcentral.
AUACGUAGGUGGCAAGCGUUGUCCGGAAUUAUUGGGCGUAAAGCGCGUGCAGGUGGCUCCUUAAGUCUGCUGUGAAAGCCCCCGGCUCAACCGGGGAGGGGCAUUGGAAACUGGGGAACUUGAGUGCAGAAGAGGAUAGUGGAAUUCCAGGUGUAGCGGUGAAAUGCGUAGAGAUUUGGAGGAACACCAGUGGCGAAGGCGACUGUCUGGUCUGUAACUGACACUGAGGCGCGAAAGCGUGGGGAGCAAACAGGAUUAGAUACCCUGGUAGUCCACGCCGUAAACGAUGAGUGCUAAGUGUUGGGGGGUUUCCGCCCCUCAGUGCUGCAGCUAACGCAUUAAGCACUCCGCCUGGGGAGUACGGUCGCAAGAAUGAAACUCAAAUGAAUUGGCGGGG